UACGGGGGGUGCAAACGUUGCUCGGAAUUAUUGGGCGUAAAGCGCGUGUAGGCGGCAGCGUAAGUCAGGUGUGAAAGCCCUGGGCUUAACCCAGGAAGUGCAUCUGAUACUGCGUAGCUCGAGUAUGGGAGAGGGUAGAGGAAUUCCCGGUGUAGAGGUGAAAUUCGUAGAUAUCGGGAGGAACACCAGUGGCGAAAGCGGCUACCUGGACCAAUACUGACGCUGAGACGCGAAAGCGUGGGGAGCAAACAGG
Molecule: ribosomal RNA, 253 nt
Filed under: uncultured bacterium
Lineage: Bacteria
Description: partial 16S ribosomal RNA
Rfam family: Bacterial small subunit ribosomal RNA
Source: RNAcentral